This 489-nucleotide ribosomal RNA is filed under the name uncultured bacterium. RNAcentral's name for it is "partial 16S ribosomal RNA". It matches the Rfam family "Bacterial small subunit ribosomal RNA", at positions 28 to 507 of the family's 1533-position model. The record is from RNAcentral.
GACGAACGCUGGCGGCGUGCUUAACACAUGCAAGUCGAACGGUGAAGGGACCAGCUUGCUGGUUCUGGAUGAGUGGCGAACGGGUGAGUAACACGUGAGUAACCUGCCCCCUUCUUCUGGAUAACCGCAUGAAAGUGUGGCUAAUACGGGAUAUUCUGGGUCUGUCGCAUGGCGGGCCCGGGAAAGAUAUUGCUUCGGUGGGGGAUGGGCUCGCGGCCUAUCAGCUUGUUGGUGGGGUGAUGGCCUACCAAGGCGGUGACGGGUAGCCGGCCUGAGAGGGUGGACGGUCACACUGGGACUGAGACACGGCCCAGACUCCUACGGGAGGCAGCAGUGGGGAGUAUUGCACAAUGGGCGCAAGCCUGAUGCAGCGACGCCGCGUGAGGGAUGGAGGCCUUCGGGUUGUAAACCUCUUUCGCCAGUGAAGCAGGCCUGCUCCUUGUGGGUGGGUUGACGGUAGCUGGAGAAGAAGCGCCGGCUAACUACGUG